AGGCCAUGGACAGAGUGGGGGAACAUUAAAACUAUAUUAAGACCAUCACCUUGUCCUCCCCUUGGUUCCUCAUGAAAAUACUUAUUAGUGUUUUCUGGCAAACACUAAUACCUAUUAGCUGCCAGAGGAGCCCAGAAUUUCAGCACAAAAUAGAGCCUAGACUCAAGCUUAGGGGACCCCAAAUAUCAAUAUUUGUGUUCACCCUGGGGCUGAUUUUUUUCGCCUUCUAUUUUUCUGUGCUCUCUUUCUUGUACUCUUGGCUUCUGUUUCUUUGGUUACUUGAAAAAAUUUUUUAAAUCUUAGUUAUUGAAGUGAAAACUGCUUUGAAAGGGAGAACGCCCUAGGUGAGAUCUAUCUCCCUGAUUGAAGGGAAAGAAAUGAAGGAGAUCCACUGAAAUAAAGUGAGUAUUUCCAAUCAGAAGGGGAAUAUUCUACGUCCCUCAGUGGUGAGUGACACCAAAUCAGCUGGAAAGGGCUCUCAUUCCUAGAGCUAAGGAAUAAGGAAUCUAGAGCUCACUGAUACUGUACAUACAAAACAAAACAAAUCUAAACUGCGAUAUAAAAGCAGCGUUUAAAAUUAACCAAGGGAGGCAGAGCUUCCUGGAUUUGGAUUUGUGGGUGGCAAGUAUCUAGGUGCACUGCCCCUAUUUUACUGUCCAGAGUGAGGUAAUAGUCCCUGCUCUGAAUUGGGAUUUUUGGGGGGAGACAUUCUCUCCCUUUACAUUCCCAGCAUCUUCCUAAACCAUCCUGAGUCCUCGUCUUUUCUUUAUUCUCACUUUAUUAGAACCUCAAAGAGGAUCAGAGGUCACCUGACAAUUUGAACUCUGUUUGUAGGAAGGUGUUUCUCAAUCAAGACAACACUUAAAAGGCAGCAUGACCUGGGGAAAAGAAUGUAGUCAUCUGGGUAUCAGGAGACCUGGAAUUUUCUUUUCUGAUAACUGUGCCACCUUACCAGGGAAGCUCCCUUCUCUACCUCUCAUCCCUGCUCUCCCCCUCUGCCUCUGUGGGUCUGUUUCUUUGUAAACAGGUUUUAUCUACGUGAUCCCUCCUUCUCUAAAGUUCUGAGUAUAUAAUUUUGAAAAGCUCCUCCCACCCAAGGAGUUUCUUCAGACCCCAAGGAAAAGUCUCUAGUUGGGAGGGGAGAUGUUUUCCCCUACAUUUAUUGAGCACCUCGUAUGUAACAGGUGCAAGUCACCAUUCAAAGCGUCCUUUAUGUGUGUCAUUUAAUCCUUAAUGAUGAUGGUAACACACACUUAUAUAGCACUUCCUCUGUGCCAGACUCUGUUCUAAUUAGUUUACAUACAUUCACCCAUUUAAAUCCUCAUCAUGAAGUGUAUGAAGUUGGUAUUAUUAUGAUCUUCCUUUUGUAGGUGACCACUGAACCUUAAAGGAGAAACAAACAUAGUGCCCUAGGGCCUAAGGCUGACCUCAAUAUUCAUAAACCAGGACAGGACAAUCAUCUUCUCUUGACAGAUGAGGAAGAUGGGGUUCUACCAGGCUAAGGAAAACUGCCCACAGUCACAGAACAAAAAGUGGUGGAUUCCCAGUCCCUGAAGGUCCUAGGACAUGUGCCAAGUAAUUACUUGGUGGAGCCAUGGCAGAGGAAAUUCAAAGGGAUUCUCCAAGAAGCAGGAAGAUUGAAUCUCAUCAGCAAACCCUCACAAGGCUGAAGUUGUCCUCUCUUCACUCUCUCAGUGCCUGAAACUUUAAGUCAUUCUGCAGUGCCUUUUCAAAUUGGGACCCGCCUCAGUCCAUGUGGUAUUUCUAAUGAAAGCAGUGACUUCUGGGAGGCUACCUCAUCCUGUGCACCAAUCCUCCCACUGGAUCCUGGCCACUACCUCAAAAUGAGGUGUCUCUAAUUCUAGAGUGGAAUCAGGAGGAUCCAGAUGCAUUGCCACUUAUAACUGGUAUAAAUUACAGCCCAGAAGCAGAGGUGUGCAAGAAAUAGUACGAAAAAUUUUUUUAUAACUGCACGUAAUUUGUAUUUUAAGCCUUGAUCCUGC
This is a long non-coding RNA of Balaenoptera acutorostrata (minke whale), 2003 nucleotides long. RefSeq lists it as uncharacterized. The transcript is spliced from 3 exons. The record is from RefSeq and is a predicted model, not a curated record. NCBI's taxonomy places the organism in Eukaryota, Metazoa, Chordata, Mammalia, Artiodactyla, Balaenopteridae.